RNAcentral lists this transfer RNA (63 nucleotides) under Laetmonice producta. RNAcentral's name for it is "tRNA-Leu". The record is from RNAcentral. Lineage: Eukaryota; Metazoa; Annelida; Polychaeta; Phyllodocida; Aphroditidae.
AAUAAGUUGGCAGAUUAGUGCAGUUGGUUUAGGACCUCCAUAUGAAUUACUUUUCACUUAUUG